This is a long non-coding RNA of Scylla paramamosain (green mud crab), 387 nucleotides long. RefSeq lists it as uncharacterized. The record is from RefSeq and is a predicted model, not a curated record. NCBI's taxonomy places the organism in Eukaryota, Metazoa, Arthropoda, Malacostraca, Decapoda, Portunidae. The transcript is spliced from 3 exons.
UUUUAGGCAAAACAGGGAACUUUUGGCAACUCGAUCUGGCAGCACUGGCGGCAGUACCAGUUGGAAGGCGAGCGUGCGAGCAGGCGCGGUGUUGUGUGUUCCUCAGUGCAGGGCAAGGCUGCGGGUGCUCUCCCCCAGGGCAGUGUUUGAUGGUGCCCCUGGGAUUAUGAGUGAGGCAGUGACAUCCGCCCCUGCCCCCCGCCCGCUCCCUCUCCCCCAAGACCCUUGAGGCCAGGUCGUUCGGUGGUGCAUCACAGCGUCACAGACUCACAGAGGGUGCGUAGCUGAGGCAGCGACGCGUGGACGGCGCUGAUGGCGGCCAGAACCUCUUGGGCGUCUUGGUCACACACGGCCAGGCGGAGCCCCCCCAGGCCCCGGUACUCCUGC